UACGAAGGGGGCUAGCGUUGCUCGGAAUCACUGGGCGUAAAGCGCACGUAGGCGGACUCUUAAGUCGGUGGUGAAAUCCUGGAGCUCAACUCCAGAACUGCCUUCGAUACUGGGAGUCUCGAGUUCGGGAGAGGUGAGUGGAACUGCGAGUGUAGAGGUGAAAUUCGUAGAUAUUAGGAAGAACACCAGUGGCGAAGGCGGCUCACUGGCUCGUAACUGACGCUCAGGCGCGACAGGCGUGGGGAUCAAACAGG
This 254-nucleotide ribosomal RNA is filed under the name uncultured bacterium. RNAcentral describes it as "partial 16S ribosomal RNA". It matches the Rfam family "Bacterial small subunit ribosomal RNA", at positions 524 to 776 of the family's 1533-position model. The record is from RNAcentral.